AUCACAGUGUGGCUGAGGGAU
This 21-nucleotide microRNA is filed under the name Drosophila melanogaster (fruit fly). RNAcentral describes it as "dme-miR-9382-5p". Lineage: Eukaryota; Metazoa; Arthropoda; Insecta; Diptera; Drosophilidae. The record is from miRBase by way of RNAcentral.